GCCAAGUGGAGGGGUGUGCGGCCAUACCUGUCCUUGGCGUUAAGGGCACUGGAGGGUAUGAGGGCAGACACACACUCAGCACUGCCCCGCUCAGCAGCCAAGUGGAGGGGUGUGCGGCCAUCCUUGUCUUUGGCGUUAAGGGCACUGGAGGGUAUGAGGGCAGACACACACUCAGCACUGCCCCGCUCAGCAGCCAAGUGGAGGGGUGUGCGGCCAUACCUGUCCUUGGCGUUAAGGUCACUGGAGGGUAUGAGGGCAGACACACACUCAGCACUGCCCCGCUCAGCAGCCAAGUGGAGGGGUGUGCGGCCAUACAUGUCCUUGGCGUUAAGGUCACUGGAGGGUAUGAGGGCAGACACACACUCAGCACUGCCCCGCUCAGCAGCCAAGAGGAGGGGUGUGCGGCCAUACCUGUCCU
Molecule: long non-coding RNA, 418 nt
Organism: Eriocheir sinensis (Chinese mitten crab)
Lineage: Eukaryota; Metazoa; Arthropoda; Malacostraca; Decapoda; Varunidae
Exons: 3
Source: RefSeq, a predicted model, not a curated record